AAGAGAGCUUGAUUGCAAGACAUACAGGUCGAGCAAGGAUGAAAAUCGGACUUAGUGAUCCGGUGGUUCUGCGUGGAAGGGCCAUCGCUCAACGGAUAAAAGCUACCCUGGGGAUAACAGGCUUAUCCCCCCCAAGAGUCCACAUCGACGGGGAGGUUUGGCACCUCGAUGUCGGCUCAUCACAUCCUGGGGCUGUAGUAGGUCCCAAGGGUUGGGCUGUUCGCCCAUUAAAGUGGUACGCGAGCUGGGUUCAGAACGUCGUGAGACAGUUCGGUCCCUAUCCGUCGCAGGCGUAGGAAAUUUGAGAAGACCUGUCCUUAGUACGAGAGGACCGGGAUGGACGUACCUCUGGUGUACCAGUUGUUCUGCCAAGGGCAUGGCUGGGUAGCUAUGUACGGAAUGGAUAAGCGCUGAAAGCAUCUAAGCGCGAAGCCAACUUCAAGAUAAGAUUUCCCACCGCAAGGGUAAGACCCCAGAAAGACUAUCUGGUUGAUAGGUCGAAGGUGUAAGUGCAGCAAUGUAUUUAGCUUAUCGAUACUAAUAGGUCGAGGACUUGACCAAAUU
This 564-nucleotide ribosomal RNA is filed under the name Clostridioides difficile. RNAcentral describes it as "partial 23S ribosomal RNA". It matches the Rfam family "Bacterial large subunit ribosomal RNA", at positions 2361 to 2925 of the family's 2925-position model. The record is from RNAcentral. Lineage: Bacteria; Bacillati; Bacillota; Clostridia; Peptostreptococcales; Peptostreptococcaceae.